Molecule: ribosomal RNA, 491 nt
Filed under: uncultured bacterium
Lineage: Bacteria
Description: partial 16S ribosomal RNA
Rfam family: Bacterial small subunit ribosomal RNA
Source: RNAcentral
AGUGAACGCUGGCGGUAGGCCUAACACAUGCAAGUCGAACGGCAGCACAGUAAGAGCUUGCUCUUACGGGUGGCGAGUGGCGGACGGGUGAGGAAUACAUCGGAAUCUACUUUUUCGUGGGGGAUAACGUAGGGAAACUUACGCUAAUACCGCAUACGACCUACGGGUGAAAGCAGGGGAUCUUCGGACCUUGCGCGAUUGAAUGAGCCGAUGUCGGAUUAGCUAGUUGGCGGGGUAAAGGCCCACCAAGGCGACGAUCCGUAGCUGGUCUGAGAGGAUGAUCAGCCACACUGGAACUGAGACACGGUCCAGACUCCUACGGGAGGCAGCAGUGGGGAAUAUUGGACAAUGGGCGCAAGCCUGAUCCAGCCAUACAGCGUGGGUGAAGAAGGCCUUCGGGUUGUAAAGCCCUUUUGUUGGGAAAGAAAAGCAGCAGGUGAAUACCCCGCUGUUCUGACGGUACCCAAAGAAUAAGCACCGGCUAACUUCGU